GACGAACGCUGGCGGCGUGCUUAACACAUGCAAGUCGAACGGAAAGGCCCUGCUUUUGUGGGGUGCUCGAGUGGCGAACGGGUGAGUAACACGUGAGUAACCUGCCCUUGACUUUGGGAUAACUUCAGGAAACUGGGGCUAAUACCGGAUAGGAGCUCCUGCUGCAUGGUGGGGGUUGGAAAGUUUCGGCGGUUGGGGAUGGACUCGCGGCUUAUCAGCUUGUUGGUGGGGUAGUGGCUUACCAAGGCUUUGACGGGUAGCCGGCCUGAGAGGGUGACCGGCCACAUGGGGACUGAGAGACGGCCCAGACUCCUACGGUAGGCAGCAGUGGGGAAUAUUGCGCAAUGGGCGGAAGCCUGAUGCAGCAACGCCGCGUGCGGGAUGACGGCCUUCGGGUUGUAAACCGCUGUCGCCGGUGACGAAGCGUGAGUGACGGUAAUGGGUAAGGAAGCACCGGCUAACUACGUG
Molecule: ribosomal RNA, 468 nt
Filed under: uncultured bacterium
Lineage: Bacteria
Description: partial 16S ribosomal RNA
Rfam family: Bacterial small subunit ribosomal RNA
Source: RNAcentral